UAGCGGUCUAGAUAUUUAACCAGAGAUAAAUGAUAGAAACAUGGAAAACAUAGAAUACGCAUACACUCUCAGCAAUACUUCAAUGUCAUCACAAAGCAAAUCUAUUAAAAGAAAAUAAAAUGCAAAGGCCGAUUGAUAUUGCCAAUAAUUUUAAAUUCUCUGACAAAAAUAAGGGUGCGAAAAGAGAAUAUUUUCAUAAUAUUUAAAACCCACGAGAAGCACCGCGGCCUCUGCCUCUAGUUCCACGGCCACGUCCACGUCCACGACCUCGUACUACCUCUUUCUUCUUUUGUUUUGGCUUUGUGCUAUCAUCAAUUAAAAGGGUAUCAAGUGGUAACGAGUCUGGGAGGAUGUAGUAGCGUAUGUUAUUUCCACGAAUUGACAGAGUUUCUACAGGCACUGGCUCUCUACCUUUGACAGUCAUUUUAACAGCUUUUAAAUGGGUAUUCAUUUGCAUAUCAACAGAAGUAAUCGUUCCGUGAACAAUUGUGCCUACGCGAUUUGGUAAGUUUGGUUCAUUUAUUAUACGAAAGUAAGGCUUUACGUACCAUUUUUUAACUCAAUAGAGACAGUUUCAUUCGUCAGCUUCAUUAAAAAGCUAAACUCGUUAGGAAUAUGUAUAGAUUUUUUAUCAUACUUACCGUACCAACUUCAUGGUGUGUGCUUUGGUGUUCCUGGCAACUGCAAAAAUCAAGUAUUAUGUUCGACUAAAACACAUCAACAAUAGAUAAAAUCAUCAAUUUUAUGUUAAGAUAUAAUGGAUUCUGAAGUUUUACUAGUCCAAAAUAGCUUUGUGAUAUUAAUAGGCUGAUCUUCAUGUGCAUUUAUUUUUCCAGUAUCUGAGAAUAAAGUUGAGAAGCUAAGACUUCUUAAUACAGAUUCGACUGUUGAAAAAGCUUGAUACUAAUUUUAAUAAUUAAGUGAAAGCACUCAUUAGUCUAAAUAAAUGGGUUUCGAACCCAAUACUCGAAUGAGCUUUAAGGCAUCAAAUUUUAGAGAUAAAAUUAUUAUGUAUCGCAUGUCAUUUGUUUUAAUCAUUUAUUUUAUACAAUUUAAGACAUUUUAUUCAAAUACAAAAUUCAAAGCUUUGGCUAUUCAAUAUAAGAAGAUUACCAAGUGAAUUUUCACGAAUUGAAUUAUUUUUUAUUGUCCCGUAAAGCUCGCGCUAAAGCUGAACAGAAACUUUCAUAAACAUUAUAAUCAUAUCCUUCAAUCCAUUUACACUGCAAUUGAUUAUCUAUUACGUUCAGUUCACAUUUCAUUUGUCCUUCCAGACUAGAAACAGAAGUUUGACUUUUGGAUAUCCGUCGAGCUUUACGAGACCAAGUGAUAGAUUUUGUUGAUAUUUCCAAAACGGAUCCUUUUUUAGACCACGGAAUUUUGUUAUCAUCUAAGAAUUUCUGUAGAAUGUCAUCAAUUUGAGCACAUAAUUCUGGGUCUAAAGUCCAAUUCUGAAGAACCUUAUGGGGGAAAUAUUUAGAAAGGGAAGUUGAAGAAGGACGUAUAAGUUCCUUUGGAUCCUUUUGUUAGUAUCAUGAAUUUUAAAUAUCGUUCGAUAGCAGCAUACAUUGUGUGGACGCAUAGCCUGAAAUGACCAGCAAAUUAUCCAGCGCUUAGUCUUUCCAAGUGCGAGUUCGUAAAUUCCAUAAUUUGAUAUCUUACAGAUAUAAGUUAAAAAAAUUUUAAAGGCUAGUUAGGACUUACAUUUUGUUCACGCAAUUUAUCAACCACAGCAGGUACACUUGAUUUUUUGCCAAACAUACAGGUAUACCAUUGAAUUCCUUUCCUUUUUUUACUUUCAGUUAAGAUUUUAUUGGCAAAUCCGACUUCACCACCCUCUGUAACCAUUUCAUGAUAAACUCCAGUACAAACACCCGAUGGUGGAUUUUGCUUAAAAUUUAUGAAAUCUUCCUCAUGUUCAUAAAAUGGGGGAUUACACAUCACAAAGGUAAAUUCUUCCAUCCCUUCGGUAUCAGGGAGUAAGCAGUCUUGUUUAGAACGAAGCACAAUUUUGAUCUGGGAUUCCAUGUUAUUUUGAAGAAUAUUGCUCUUGGCUGUUUCAAAAGAAAAUUUGUCAAUUUCUAGAGUUUUGAGUAAUUAGUAAAAGCCUGUGAAAAAUCAAAGCUUACCGGUGCCAACGAAAUCAUAUGAGUACAUACGACAGCCUAAUAAUGGGUAUAUACAACUAGCGCCGGUACCAAUAUCCAAACCAAUGAUUCUUUUUUUAUCCUUUUGCCCAGAUGUACUUGACAACAGGUCAUGAAUAUAUCUUAUAUAAGUGGCUCUGAAAAGUUGGUUAUAAAUGAUGAAUAAACAAUGUGUUAAUAUACCGGUUUGGAACCUUUAAAUGAAUUAGCAUUUAUGAGAGAAGGGAAAUGUUUGUUUAAAAGAAACAUUGGUGAUGCUACACAUCUCUUACCAUUGGACAUAGACGAUUCUCAGGAAAUUCAACACGAAGAGAAUAAUCCCGAUCCAGAAUUGCUUUUCCUAACGUACUAAUUUAUAGGUAAGCAAUCGUUUAACAUAUGUGAGUUUACCAACCGAAUAGCAUCUUCGUUCCAAAAAUCAAUGCGACCAUUUUUGACGCUACGUUCAAUUAGUAUAUAAAUUGGCAUUGAGAACGCCCUACAAAGAUCUCAAGUCGGGAUAAUCCCUUGCUAAACUAUCGAAAUUUAUAAUAUCAGUU
RNAcentral lists this long non-coding RNA (2686 nucleotides) under Schizosaccharomyces pombe (fission yeast). Lineage: Eukaryota; Fungi; Ascomycota; Schizosaccharomycetes; Schizosaccharomycetales; Schizosaccharomycetaceae. The record is from RNAcentral.